UAUAAUUUGAGACGGAGGAGUAUUAUUAAUCUUCAAAUCUUAUACCAGACUAACAGUGUUGCUAGGUAGCAUAUGGCUCUAUGAUUAUAUUUUGUAUUGGUUUUGAUUAGGUAAUAAUUGUCUUCCUAAACAUUUAUAUUGUUAUCUUCCUAAACCUUUCUUGAAAAUCCAGAUAGCAUGGUACGUACAUACUCCACCGGGUGUAGCCAAGACUGUUGUCUAUUUGGCUUCACAAAAAUGGGUAAGGGUUUGAUACAAGCCUACAUCAAUGCUUGCUUGCUAAAAAGAGCUUCAAUGAAGAGAGACUCCCAAUUAUACAAGUGUAUUCUCCUUUUCCAUCUACUGCACCAAAAAUUACAUAUUAACUUUUCAAGCUGCUCUCCAAAAAAAAAAAAACUUUCAAGCUCAUCACAUGUACCUUUAGGCAAAAGGAAACAACUCAUAAGACAAAUAUUGAGGCACAAGUGUUGGUAAUGUUCUUAACUCUUGUGCAAAAAAUUGUUCAAAAUCUUAAAAGUUUAAGCAUAAUUAAACAAAUUUAGAUUUAGCAGGGACUAAAACUGAGUGCAUAAUUUUUUUAUAUGAACUAAAAGCACUAUUAAAAUUAAGUAAGGACUAAACUUAAAAGGUUCCAAUUUUAUAAGGAUCAAAAACAUAUGAUGUCAUUUACCACAUAACAGUCAUGUCACUUGAAAUGUCCAUGUGGCAUGUCUGAGUCAGCAUUCUGUUAGCCUAGUCAGCACAGUUUGACGGCAAGGACCAAACUUACAAACGGAAAAAAAAAUAUUGGGGAUGAAAAAAUUUAUAAAAUUUAAAUAGUGACAAAUGUUGAAAGCUUGCUUAUUUGUAAGGACCUUAAACAUAAUUAACCCUAAAUUUAAAUUAUAACCAUUUGUCACUUAAGAGAUCAAAUGGAACAGAAAAUAAAAUUUAAGAGAUCAAUGUGUCUAUUAUUUAUAGAUCAAAGGACUAAAAUGGAAGGAAAAUAACUUCGGGUACUAAUUUAAGAUCUAAAAAUAAUUUAAGGGCCCAAAAAUUUAUAAUUUAAAAAAGACAAAAAUAGCAAUGGAGAUUUCAUCUUGGGAAAUGGACUACACUCACACAACUUGACGAAAGAAUAUUUAAAUACCUACACAAACAAGUACUCACAUUUAAUCCUUUCAAACAAAAAAAAAAGUGCUCACAUUUAAUGUCUGAAAUGUAUUGAAUAAAUUUUCUAUUACAAAUUCUAGAAAUCUCAGCUCAAUUUUGCCAAAAAAAAAGAGUCUUGGCUCAACUAGAAAAUACUGAAAUUAUUAUAUUGAACGCCAUAACCGUUGUGUUUGUAAGUGUAUAGUAAUUUUGUUAUUUUGUUUAUGAAAAAAUGUCAUAACUAUUAGAUCAGACACCGAAGUGAUGUUCCGCCUUCUUUAUCAUUUCUUUUCCUUAAUUCGAUUAUUUUACUUACCUUUUUUUUUUUUGUCAAUUAGUCUAAUGGCUAGUUUUACUUACCUUUUUAUUCCUAUACAAUUUGGUUAUUUAUCAAUCUGUAUGUUUAAUGCUUUAAGAAUUCUUGUGAAGAUGUUGUAUUAAAUUCAUUUGUGUGGUUGCUCUAAUUCAAUGUGAUGAUCAUUGGACUUUCUCCCAUUUCCCAACAACAAUUCCGCAGCAUAAGAGUGUGUAACUUAACAUUUAAGAACAAUUUUGAAAAAUUAGCACUCUGACUCAAAAUAAAAUAUUUAAUAACAAUAUUUAAUAAAUAAAUUAAAAAAAAAAACAAAGUUUUGAAGAGUUAGAUUCCGUCUAGACCGACCUACAUUGCCAAUAUUAGUAUAAUGUUUGAUUUGAUUUAUAAAUGGUUAAUUGCAUUUAAUAUGAAAGGUUAAAUGCAUUUAGUAUAAAUAAUUCAUAAUCUAGUAAAUAAGUUAUUGCAGUUGUUUGCCUUGCAAAAACAUGAGAAAAUUCAAUCACAAUCAAACAACUUCUCCCAAUUUGAUCCAACACAAUACAUAACUAUGGAAUAUGUGGUGUCUAUAUCCAUGAUCAAUUUCACUUCAUCCAUGGAGUCAGUAUCAUACACUAGAAUACCCAGAAUUUCCACUAGCAAAAUGUCACAAACAUCGUCAACCCUUGGAACAUCUUAUGAGACAACCCAGAGUCAAUAAUUGAUGUGUUAUUCAAACAACUACCAUUCAUGUUUAUUUUAACAAAGCCACCAUGGAGGAUGUUCCCAACGAUCGACUAGAAUAACAGACAAAGUAUGGUUACCUUCCAUAUUUGGGCCGUAAUAGAUGAUUCAACAAUAUUCCUGCCAUUAGGUUGAGUUGAAUCAUAAACUAUAGAUCUCUUAUUUAACAACAAUCAAUAUUUUUCACCCUGCUCAAUUUUAAUUAUUAUUUUUGUUGAUGUGAUGUAUCGUUAAUUAAUGAUGUGCGCCAUUGAGUUUGAGUUUUUUAUUUUAUUUUUUUACGAAAAUGUAUCUUUAUAACUAUGAUGAUUAUGCCACAUCAUUAAUAUUGAUGUUAAAAAAAGGAAAAUGCUAACUGAAAGACGGACACUUAUCCACAUUUUCUCCAAGUAUCCAACAAAAUAUAUCACAGCUUAAAAGUUGUUAUAUUUAACCAGAACCUUUUUUGAGCAAAUAUUUAACCAGAACCUAAAUGAUAGGAUCUUACGUAUCCAACAAAAACCUUGAGAAACAUCCACCUAUAACUUAACAUAACAUAUCCUCAAUCCUCAACAAAAAUCUAUUUAUAGAGGAUCACACCUGUUUCGCUUGUAGAUGUUACUGGACUUGGCAAUCUUCUCUACUAUUUAUUCUUGAUUCUUUACCUCUCUAUUCUACACUCUUUCUUUUCCUCUUGAUUUUUUUUUCACUUCAUUUUCAACUUUCUUGGUCUUGUUUUCGGUCUAGUUAGGAUUACAAAAAUGGACACCAUUGUAGGAAACCCUUUGCAUCUAAAAUCGGUGAAUCAUAUCUCCCUUGUAACACCCUUACUAGACAUUACCUAGGAUAUCUAGCGUGUGUGUUAAACUUGGUAUUGGAUACAUUAAAAUUACAAUAAUAAAAAUUCCCGCAGAAUAAAAUAUAAAAUUCUCGUCUUAUACCUUUGAAAUAAUACCACUGACGUGAAUUUUAUAUAGUCCGGCAACUGCUUCUUCAUCACGAACCUUUAUGUCGUCUAGUAACCUCUGAAUAUCUUAAAUAAAUAAAAAUAAUUGGGGUGAGACAUGAUGUCUCAGUGAGUUCCACCUAUCUUAAGGUGUAGGCAAUCUCAGGGACCCUAAGAUCGUCAUAUGUUCUAAACUCAACCCAUUUCGGGUUUAUAUAGUCUUUAUCAUACAUAAUUGUGCGAUCGGGGAUAACUAGGAUCGCUACCUAGAAUACUAUCAUGAUACUAUUAUAAUGUCAUAUUCUUAUUCAUACACAUUCUCAUAAUCAUAAUAAUAAUUUUUGACUUAAAUUCAUGUCAUUAAUUAUACAUUUCUUGUCUUAAAGUUUUUCGUUGUGGCUAACGGUAACUAUUUCUUUUUUUUUUUUUUUUUUUUUUUACUAUGUGCCAUACCUCAUAGGCUGCGUUAUCUUUUUGUUGCAGCAAAUAGUGUUUUCGCAUUUGUUACUAUGAGUCGUACCUCAUAGGCUACAUUAUCUCUUCGCUGUAGCAAACGGAGAUUUCGCAUUCGUUACUAUGAGCCGUACCUCAUAAGCUACAUUAUCUCUUCGUUGUAGCAAACGGAGAUUUCGCAUUCGUUAUUAUGAGUCGUACCUCAUAGGCUACAUUAUCUCUUCAUUAUAACAAACGAAGAUUUUCUCAAUUUUUUUCUUUCUAUGAGCAUGUUACUCAUUUCAAAUUUUCUACUCAUUUCAAUUUUCUUUCAAAUCAUUAGUAUGAUUAUAUACAUCAAUUGCGUUGAUAGAAUUUGUCUCCCACAUUUAUACUAGCAUAAACAUACUUAUUAACAUAAAUGAGAUUUUUAGAAUAAACAAUUAAGGAUACCUAAUUCAGAAAUAAUCAUUCUACUAUCUCAUAUUUAUUCUGUUUCAAAUGUACCAUUCAUAUGGCAUGAUAGUCAUGCUUGCACAAUCGGCAAGUAAUCAUAAAGAGGAUCUAAUUAUUCAUGUUAUCUCAAUAAUCUAAUAUAAUCAUAAUUGAUCCCCAAAGGUGGGUUCUAAGCUAAAGGAACUCACCUUUAAUCCUUUAAAAUAACAUAGGCUCGUCUCACUUUUGCAUUUCAAACCUCAACCAACUUCACGCUCAACCAUGAGGGCUUCCGUAAUUAACCUUGAAUGAUGAUUCCUAAGCUCCUCAAGCAUCAAAACAAGUCAUUACCAUAAUCACCCACAACCUAGUAGCUAUCCAUCAUGGGUAUUCCAAAAACAAGUUUACUUGAUGAUUUCCAUGGAAUUGGAGGAAAGAUUAUGAACUUGGAAAAUGAGAGAAAGAGGGGCGGUUGAGCAAUUGGAGGGAGGAGAAGUGAUUAUUAAACUAGUUUCUUGGUUAAAACUCUACUAGGAACCUAUUAAAGCAUGUACCAUGAUGAUUCCAUGAUGAAUUGUGAAUUUGAU
Molecule: long non-coding RNA, 4546 nt
Filed under: Medicago truncatula (barrel medic)
Lineage: Eukaryota; Viridiplantae; Streptophyta; Magnoliopsida; Fabales; Fabaceae
Description: long non-coding RNA (MTRU_LNC007910)
Source: RNAcentral